CUACGGGAGGCAGCAGUGGGGAAUAUUGGACAAUGGGGGCAACCCUGAUCCAGCAAUGCCGCGUGUGUGAAGAAGGUCUUCGGAUUGUAAAGCACUUUCACUAGGGAAGAUGAUGACGGUACCUAGAGAAGAAGCCCCGGCUAACUUCGUGCCAGCAGCCGCGGUAAUACGAAGGGGGCUAGCGUUGCUCGGAAUGACUGGGCGUAAAGGGCGCGUAGGCUGUUUGUACAGUCAGAUGUGAAAUCCCCGGGCUUAACCUGGGAACUGCAUUUGAUACGUGCAGACUANAGUCCGAGAGAGGGUUGUGGAAUUCCCAGUGUAGAGGUGAAAUUCGUAGAUAUUGGGAAGAACACCGGUUGCGAAGGCGGCAACCUGGCUCGGAACUGNCCCUGAGGCGCGAAAGCGUGGGGAGCGAACAGGAUUAGAUACCCUGGUAGUCCACGCUGUAAACGAUGUGUGCUGGAUGUUGGGUGAUUUUAUCAUUCAGUGUCGGAGCUAACGCGUUAAGCACACCGCCUGGGGAGUACGGCCGCAAGGUUGAAACUCAAAGGAAUUGACCGGGGGCCGCACAAGCGGUG
RNAcentral lists this ribosomal RNA (578 nucleotides) under Acetobacteraceae bacterium CP9. RNAcentral's name for it is "bacterial SSU rRNA". It matches the Rfam family "Bacterial small subunit ribosomal RNA", at positions 339 to 934 of the family's 1533-position model. The record is from RNAcentral. Lineage: Bacteria; Pseudomonadati; Pseudomonadota; Alphaproteobacteria; Acetobacterales; Acetobacteraceae.